GCCAGACUCCUACGGGAGGCAGCAGUGGGGAAUAUUGCACAAUGGGGGGAACCCUGAUGCAGCGACGCCGCGUGGGUGAAGAAGUAUUUCGGUAUGUAAAGCCCUCUCAGCAGGGAAGAAAAAUGACGGUACCUGACUAAGAAGCACCGGCUAAAUACGUGCCAGCAGCCGCGGUAAUACGUAUGGUGCAAGCGUUAUCCGGAUUUACUGGGUGUAAAGGGAGCGCAGGCGGCACGCUAAGCCUGAUGUGAAAACCCGCGGCCCAACCGCGGGAGUGCAUUGGGAACUGGCGGGCUGGAGUACCGGAGGGGCAGGCGGAAUUCCUAGUGUAGCGGUGAAAUGCGUAGAUAUUAGGAGGAACACCAGUGGCGAAGGCGACCUGCUGGACGGAGACUGACGCUGAGGCUCGAAAGCGUGGGGAGCAAACAGGAUUAGAUACCCUAGUA
RNAcentral lists this ribosomal RNA (446 nucleotides) under uncultured bacterium. RNAcentral describes it as "bacterial SSU rRNA". It matches the Rfam family "Bacterial small subunit ribosomal RNA", at positions 330 to 792 of the family's 1533-position model. The record is from RNAcentral.